This 512-nucleotide ribosomal RNA is filed under the name uncultured bacterium. RNAcentral describes it as "bacterial SSU rRNA". It matches the Rfam family "Bacterial small subunit ribosomal RNA", at positions 29 to 523 of the family's 1533-position model. The record is from RNAcentral.
AUUGAACGCUGGCGGCAUGCCUUACACAUGCAAGUCGAACGGUAACGCGGGGCAACCUGGCGACGAGUGGCGAACGGGUGAGUAAUACAUCGGAACGUGCCCAGUAGUGGGGGAUAGCCCGGCGAAAGCCGGAUUAAUACCGCAUACGACCUACGGGUGAAAGCGGGGGAUCGCAAGACCUCGCGCUAUUGGAGCGGCCGAUGUCAGAUUAGCUAGUUGGUGGGGUAAAAGCCUACCAAGGCGACGAUCUGUAGCUGGUCUGAGAGGACGACCAGCCACACUGGGACUGAGACACGGCCCAGACUCCUACGGGAGGCAGCAGUGGGGAAUUUGGACAAUGGGGGCAACCCUGAUCCAGCCAUGCCGCGUGCGGGAAGAAGGGCCCUUCGGGGUUGGUUAAAACCCGGACCGUUUUUGGUUCCUAGGGGAAGAUACGGUCUGCGCUAUACCUCGGAGGAUGACGGUACCUGAAGAAUAAGCACCGGCUAACUACGUGCCAGCAGCCGCGGUAA